This 253-nucleotide ribosomal RNA is filed under the name uncultured bacterium. RNAcentral describes it as "partial 16S ribosomal RNA". It matches the Rfam family "Bacterial small subunit ribosomal RNA", at positions 524 to 776 of the family's 1533-position model. The record is from RNAcentral.
UACAGAGGUCUCAAGCGUUGUUCGGAUUCAUUGGGCGUAAAGGGUGCGUAGGCGGCGGGGCAAGUCUGAUGUGAAAUCCCGGGGCUCAACCCCGGAACUGCAUUGGAUACUGCUCUGCUUGAGCACUGGAGAGGAGACUGGAAUUUACGGUGUAGCAGUGAAAUGCGUAGAGAUCGUAAGGAAGACCAGUGGCGAAGGCGAGUCUCUGGACAGUUGCUGACGCUGAGGCACGAAGGCCAGGGGAGCAAACGGG